AAAAUUUUUCUGAGAUAGGGCGUUUUUCAAUCGAUUUCGGUAAUAGGGCAUUCUUGAAUAGUUUUCUGAGAUACGGCGUUUUCGAACUGGCUGCCGAGAUAGAUCGAUCUUCCACUAAGGUGUUGAUAUGUGUAUUUCGUCAUUAGUAACGAUAUGUAUAUUUAUUCAUUAAUUAGAGAACAAUUUCAACCUUUGAAAGGUUCCCACAAAACUUUACGGUUUUAAAGCAUUCCUGGCACUUUGGUGUGGUAUCAGUAAUUUUGUAAAAAUAAAUCCAUACUUUAGAUUUUGGCGGUGUCAUUACUUAAAGCAAUUAUUUUUCAUAAAAAACGACGCUGCCAAGAUAUGGCACUUGCUCAAAUCGAUUCGAUACAAGUACUUUUCUUUCGAUACCAAGUAUGAAUCGAUACAACGAUUCGAGUAAAAAAAGUAGUUGGUAUCGAAACAAAAGUAUCGAGUACGUACUCGUAUUUACUUGUAUCGGAACACCCCUAAUUGCCAUUGCCGCAUUCGUCCGCGUGUGAAGAGCGUGUUUUUUCUAUGCAAAGUUUAAUUAAAACCAAACGUAGAAACAAAUUACAAAUAAAUCUCAUAAACAAUGUAAUUGCUGUUAUUUUUCAUGAUGCAAUAAUGAAAGGUGUUAUACGUUGGCAACUUCUCGCUCUAAUCCGCCAUUUUGAACUACCUUAGGAGAAACCGUGUUGUUUCUUUACUAAUUUCACUGAACAUUUCCCAAAAUAUUAGAAAAAAAUUCUAAUCGAGCUACAUUGAUUCAAUUUACGUUGUUCGUUUUGUUCUUAUUCGCUGACAUUUGUUUUCUAAUUACGUGAAAUUUGGUUAUUUCCUUAGCGUUUUCCUGGCCGACCUGUGCUGGUAUUGUGAUUAAAAGCUAAUACACCAUUCUCUGGUGAACUGCAGCUGGGGCCGAACUUGAUUAUUUUAUGGACGAUUCUGCUGUGCUGCGUUCCUGCUCCGCCUGUGUAUUGCUCCGCCCGUGUUUUACAGUGUUGCGUUCCUGUUGCGCCUUUGCAUUAGUGUGUGCGUUGUGCUUUAGACACGUUGAAAUUUUUUGUAUGCUUCUGCUGUGCUGCGUUCCUGCUCCACCCGUGUAUUAGAUUGCUGCGUUCCUGUUAAUAUACAUAUCGCCGUUUAAAGCACAAAAUCGCGUAUCGUCCUUAACCGCGUAACUUACAUUUGAUGCUAAAAAUUCGGAUUUGCUCACACAAGCUCUUGGCUCAAUCCUUAUCCAUUCUACCUAUUAUACUAGCCAAAAAUGGGAUUGCUUUUUAAAAAAGAUAACCAUUUUGAAAUAUAAGUGUUUUUACUCUCUAGAAAAUGAUGACAUACAUAU
This is a long non-coding RNA of Rhagoletis pomonella (apple maggot), 1351 nucleotides long. RefSeq lists it as uncharacterized. The transcript is spliced from 6 exons. NCBI's taxonomy places the organism in Eukaryota, Metazoa, Arthropoda, Insecta, Diptera, Tephritidae. The record is from RefSeq and is a predicted model, not a curated record.